AAAAAUACUAAAAAUUAGCCAGGCAUGGAGGCAUGUGCCUAUAGUACACUGGGAAGCUACUCAGGUGAUCCUCUCACCUCAGACUCCGAAAGGGUUGGGAAUAUAGCCAUGAGCCACCACACCGGGCCUGACAAUUAAUAUUUUUAUUUGGAAUCACGUACAGUGGUGGAGGUGGGAGGCUAUAAUCUUUCAGUCAUUAAAACCCCUAGCAGUCUUAAUUCAGUCUGCUAGAUUUGAUAGAAAUCAGAGGAUAAGAGAGUAGACCUCUGGGGCAGGAGGCAUUGGAAGAAGGAGAAGCCUACUCUCCUUAUACAUUUCUAGUAGUAAUACCUUUGUAACUCUAGAUACAGCCUCAGGCAUCCCUUUUGAUUUUUCCCCUUAUUCGUCCCCUAUAUUCAACUUUAUCUUUACUUUGAAAAUAUAAUCUGGAUUUUGUCUUAAUCUCUUCCCUUUUCUAUUAUUGUCUAACCUAAACCUUUAUCAUGCCACUUCAGGAUUCUUUAAACAAUUUUCUCAUCUGAUCUUCCUGACAACAGUUAAUCCCCUGGCUCUUGUCUAAUGAAUCAUUCUAUAAUACUUUCAUCAUAUGACUCGGUGCUUGCAAAUCUAAAAAAGAAUCUCCAUGGCCGGGCGCGGUGGCUCACGCCUAUAAUCCCAGCACUUUGAGAAGCCGAGGCGGGUGGAUCACGAGGUCAAGAGAUUGAGACCAUCCUGCUCAACAAGGUGAAACCCCGUCUCUACUAAAAAUACAAAAAUUAGCUGGGCAUGGUGGCGCGCGCCUGUAGAACAAAAAUCUCCGUUGCUUAGUGACUUAUCCAAACUUUAAACUUUCAGUCUGAGUUUUUUUGUUGUUUUUUGUUUUUUUUAGACUGAGUUUCGCUGUUGUUACCCAGACUGGAGUGCAAUGGCGCCAUCUCGGCUCACCGCAACUUCCGCCUCCUGGGUUCAGGCAAUUCUCCUGCCUCACCUUCCCGAUUAGCUGGGAUUACAGGCGCGCGCCACCAUGCCCAGCUAAUGUUUUGUAUUUGUAGUAGAGAUGGGGUUUCA
Molecule: long non-coding RNA, 1047 nt
Filed under: Callithrix jacchus (white-tufted-ear marmoset)
Lineage: Eukaryota; Metazoa; Chordata; Mammalia; Primates; Cebidae
Description: lncRNA (ENSCJAG00000080485.1)
Source: RNAcentral